Molecule: ribosomal RNA, 403 nt
Filed under: uncultured bacterium
Lineage: Bacteria
Description: partial 16S ribosomal RNA
Rfam family: Bacterial small subunit ribosomal RNA
Source: RNAcentral
AUUGAACGCUGGCGGCAGGCCUAACACAUGCAAGUCGAGCGAGCGGAGGACGGGUGAGUAAUGUAUGGGGACUGCCCGAUAGAGGGGGAUAACUACUGGAAACGGUGGCUAAUACCGCAUACUAUCGGCAAACCCAUAUGGGAGUAGCUAGUAGGUGGGGUAACGGAUCACCUAGGCGACGCGCUCUCGCUGGUCUGAGAGGAUGAUCAGCCACACGGGGACUGAGAAACGGCCCAGAUUCCUACGGAGGCAGCAGGGGGGAAUAUUGCACAAUGGGCGCAAGCCUGAUGCAGCCAUGCCGCGUGUAUGAAGAAGGCCUUAGGGUUGUAAAGUACUUUCAGCGGGGAGGCGUUACCCGCAGAAGAAGCACCGGCUAACUCCGUGCCAGCAGCCGCGGUAAUUC